UAAGUUGGGGAUAACUCCGGGAAACCGGGGCUAAUACCGAAUGAUAAAGUGUGGCGCAUGCCACGCUUUUGAAAGAUGGUUUCGGCUAUCGCUUACAGAUGGGCCCGCGGUGCAUUAGCUAGUUGGUAGGGUAAUGGCCUACCAAGGCAACGAUGCAUAGCCGACCUGAGAGGGUGAUCGGCCACACUGGGACUGAGACACGGCCCAGACUCCUACGGGAGGCAGCAGUAGGGAAUCUUCCGCAAUGGACGAAAGUCUGACGGAGCAACGCCGCGUGUAUGAAGAAGGUUUUCGGAUCGUAAAGUACUGUUGUUAGAGAAGAACAAGGAUAAGAGUAACUGCUUGUCCCUUGAC
Molecule: ribosomal RNA, 354 nt
Filed under: Listeria monocytogenes
Lineage: Bacteria; Bacillati; Bacillota; Bacilli; Caryophanales; Listeriaceae
Description: bacterial SSU rRNA
Rfam family: Bacterial small subunit ribosomal RNA
Source: RNAcentral